ACCCCUAGCAAAUCUCAAAAAACCGUCUCAGUUCGGAUUGUGCUCUGCAACUCGAGCACAUGAAGUCGGAAUCGCUAGUAAUCGCAGAUCAGCACGCUGCGGUGAAUACGUUCCCGGGCCUUGUACACACCGCCCGUCACACCAUGGGAGUUGGCUUUACCUGAAGGCGGUGCGCUAACCCGCAAGGGAGGCAGCCGACCACGGUAGGGUCAGCGACUGGGGUGAAGA
RNAcentral lists this ribosomal RNA (228 nucleotides) under uncultured bacterium. Its description in RNAcentral is "partial 16S ribosomal RNA". It matches the Rfam family "Bacterial small subunit ribosomal RNA", at positions 1260 to 1486 of the family's 1533-position model. The record is from RNAcentral.